GGGGCCACCGGCGGGCGGGCCCGCCGAGGAACGUUCUAGGGGUCCACGGAAAGGGUUUGGAGUUGGUAACUCAGUAAUGAUCCCUCCGCUGGUUCACCAACGGAGACCUUGUUACGACUUUUACUUCCUC
This 130-nucleotide unclassified non-coding RNA is filed under the name uncultured fungus. Its description in RNAcentral is "sequence contains 18S rRNA gene, ITS1, 5.8S rRNA gene, ITS2". Lineage: Eukaryota; Fungi. The record is from RNAcentral.